GGUCAAGUUAUUAAGGGUGCAGGGCGGAUGCCUUGGCACUAGGAGCCGAUGAAGGACGUGAUAAGCUGCGAUAAGCUUCGGGGAGUUGCACGUAAACUUUGAUCCGAAGAUUUCCGAAUGAGGAAACUCACUUAGAGUAAUGUCUAAGUAUCAUUAAGUGAAUACAUAGCUUAAUGAGGGGAACUCAGGGAACUGAAACAUCUAAGUACCUGAAGGAAGAGAAAGAAAUUCGAUUCCGUAAGUAGCGGCGAGCGAACGCGGAUUAGCCCAAACCAAUAAAGUUUUCUUUAUUGGGGUUGCGGACAUAUCAUAACGAAGAGGUAUCGUAAUUGAAGAGGUUUGGAAAGACCCACCACAGAAGGUAAUAGUCCUGUAUGUUAAACGAGAAGACUUCAGAUAUGAUCCAGAGUACCACGGGACACGUGAAACCCUGUGGGAAGCAGGAGGGACCACCCUCCAAGGCUAAAUACUACCUAGUGACCGAUAGCGUAUAGUACCGUGAGGGAAAGGUGAAAAGAACCCCGGGAGGGGAGUGAAAUAGAACCUGAAACCCUGCACUUACAAGCUGUGGAAGCACAUUUCUUGUGUGACC
RNAcentral lists this ribosomal RNA (592 nucleotides) under Clostridioides difficile. Its description in RNAcentral is "partial 23S ribosomal RNA". It matches the Rfam family "Bacterial large subunit ribosomal RNA", at positions 1 to 598 of the family's 2925-position model. Lineage: Bacteria; Bacillati; Bacillota; Clostridia; Peptostreptococcales; Peptostreptococcaceae. The record is from RNAcentral.